GUUGUAUGGUUAAGUGACUAAGCGUACACGGUGGAUGCCUUGGCAGUCAGAGGCGAUGAAGGACGUAUUAACUUGCGAUAAGCCCAGAUUAGGUAGUAAAAACCACUUGAGUCUGGG
RNAcentral lists this ribosomal RNA (117 nucleotides) under Vibrio jasicida. RNAcentral's name for it is "partial 23S ribosomal RNA". It matches the Rfam family "Bacterial large subunit ribosomal RNA", at positions 1 to 109 of the family's 2925-position model. Lineage: Bacteria; Pseudomonadati; Pseudomonadota; Gammaproteobacteria; Vibrionales; Vibrionaceae. The record is from RNAcentral.